RNAcentral lists this unclassified non-coding RNA (381 nucleotides) under soil metagenome. RNAcentral describes it as "partial contains 5.8S ribosomal RNA, internal transcribed spacer 2, and large subunit ribosomal RNA". The stretch from base 1 to 120 matches the Rfam family "5.8S ribosomal RNA", at positions 35 to 154 of the family's 154-position model. The record is from RNAcentral.
GAUGAAGAACGCAGCGAAAUGCGAGAAGUAAUGUGAAUUGCAGAAUUCAGUGAAUCAUCGAAUCUUUGAACGCACCUUGCGCUCCUUGGUAUUCCGAGGAGCAUGCCUGUUUGAGUGUCAUUAAUAUAUCAACCUCUUCAGCUUAUGCUUGUUGAGUGUUGGAUGGUGGGGGUUUGCUGGUGUCUUAUGAAGUCAGCUCCUCUGAAAUGCAUUAGCGGAACAAUUUGUUGACCGUUCAUUGGUGUGAUAAAAAUAUCUACGCUAUUGACGUCAGUCAGUUCAGCUUCUAACAGUCCAUUGACUUGGACAAAUUUUUCAUUAAUGUGACCUCAAAUCAGGUAGGACUACCCGCUGAACUUAAGCAUAUCAAUAAGCGGAGGA